RNAcentral lists this long non-coding RNA (3898 nucleotides) under Homo sapiens (human). Its description in RNAcentral is "non-protein coding lnc-FBXL4-1:1". The record is from RNAcentral. Lineage: Eukaryota; Metazoa; Chordata; Mammalia; Primates; Hominidae.
CUCCUCCCCGGCUCCGCCCCGCCUCCCCGGGCCCGCCGCUCCUCGCGGCCUCCGCGUCUUCCUUCCGGGUCGCGCUAGGCCGGGCUUGCGGCGGUUGUGCCGCAUCUAGAGAGUCGGGGAGCCGCCCCCGCACCCAGGCCUUCUCGCGCUGCCUGGUCGCUGGUGAAGCCCGCGGCGCGCGCCUCUCCCGGACCCUGCAGGGUAAAAGAAUGUCACAUGUCAGCAUUUGUACCUGAAGUCAGCAUGCAAAGUUCAGGGUACCUGGAUGAAUGCCAACUUUUGCAUUUCCCAUGUGUAUCCUGUGACCAUUCUAUCUGGGAACAUCCUUCAAAGAGUUCAUGCAUCUUACUGAGGACACCUGACCUUUUGAAGCUUCAUAAUUCACAUCUAGAUGUCACCGGUCUUUCCCAUGUUAACAGUUCUGACCAUGUUUUAUUAUAUAUGCCUUCGGCGCCGAGCCAGGACAGCUACAAGAGGAGAAAUGAUGAACACCCAUAGAGCUAUAGAAUCAAACAGCCAGACUUCCCCUCUCAAUGCAGAGGUAGUCCAGUAUGCCAAAGAAGUAGUGGAUUUCAGUUCCCAUUAUGGAAGUGAGAAUAGUAUGUCCUAUACUAUGUGGAAUUUGGCUGGUGUACCAAAUGUAUUCCCAAGUUCUGGUGACUUUACUCAGACAGCUGUGUUUCGAACUUAUGGGACAUGGUGGGAUCAGUGUCCUAGUGCUUCCUUGCCAUUCAAGAGGACGCCACCUAAUUUUCAGAGCCAGGACUAUGUGGAACUUACUUUUGAACAACAGGUGUAUCCUACAGCUGUACAUGUUCUAGAAACCUAUCAUCCCGGAGCAGUCAUUAGAAUUCUCGCUUGUUCUGCAAAUCCUUAUUCCCCAAAUCCACCAGCUGAAGUAAGCUUAUUCAGCUGAUUCUGAAUCAUCUUACACUACCAGACCUGUGUAGAUUAGCACAGACUUGCAAACUACUGAGCCAGCAUUGCUGUGAUCCUCUGCAAUACAUCCACCUCAAUCUGCAACCAUACUGGGCAAAACUAGAUGACACUUCUCUGGAAUUUCUACAGUCUCGCUGCACUCUUGUCCAGUGGCUUAAUUUAUCUUGGACUGGCAAUAGAGGCUUCAUCUCUGUUGCAGGAUUUAGCAGGUUUCUGAAGGUUUGUGGAUCCGAAUUAGUACGCCUUGAAUUGUCUUGCAGCCACUUUCUUAAUGAAACUUGCUUAGAAGUUAUUUCUGAGAUGUGUCCAAAUCUACAGGCCUUAAAUCUCUCCUCCUGUGAUAAGCUACCACCUCAAGCUUUCAACCACAUUGCCAAGUUAUGCAGCCUUAAACGACUUGUUCUCUAUCGAACAAAAGUAGAGGUGAGAGUAAUUCAUAAUUUUCAUCAUUGCUAUUAUGGUAGCCAACUGAAGAUUUGGUUUUCUGUAAUUGCUCAUAAUAAUGUGUUUUUUAUUUUUAAAUCAAGUUUAUGAUGCCUUCUGACUACUCUGAAAUCAAUAGAGCUGAUUCAGUCAUUGUGAAGUUAUUUCAAACCUAAUAUGCUUUUAAAUUAUAAGGAAAUGUUCUUCUCUAUGCUCUUAAAAUUUUUGUGAUGCUAUUUAUGUCCCCAGGAAAAAAAAUAAGCGUUGGUUGAGGUAAGCCAAAAUGCUGGCAGGGAAUGAAUUAGAGAAAGGUAGGAGGAUAAUAUGUAAGAGGACAUUUGCUUGCAGUGGGAGGAAGCAAAGUGAUAUUUAUCCUGGACCAGACUUGGGGGUUAAAAUUUGUAAUACCAUAGUUAAUGAGUCUCAUUUAAAAAGGAAUCAUGUCAUAUAUAUUAGUCUACUUGCUUUUUCACUAAUAUCUCUAGGACAUGUUUCCAGGGUCAGUGCAUAUAUUAUCUAACUCUUUUACUGUAAUAGUGUAUGUUAUACCAUAAUCUAUUUAACAUUCUCCAAAUGAUCAACAUUUAGUUUUUCCAGUUGUUUUCCUUUUACAAACUACCUAGCACUAACAUUCUUCUGUGCAUAGUUUUUUUUUUCUUUUUUGAGACGGAGUCUCACUCUGUUGCCCAGGCUGGAGUGCAAUGGCAUGGUCUCAGCUCACUGAAACCUCCGCCUGACCAGUUCAAGCGAUUCUCCUGCCUCAGCCUCCUGAGUAUCUGGGAUUACAGGCACGUGCCACCAUGCCCAGCUAAUUUUUGUAUUUUUAGUAGAGACGGGGUUUCACCAUGAGCCUGUGCAUGGUUUUACACAUACUUACUAUUACUGCUGUUGGAUAGAGUCCUAGAGGUGGUAUUGCUAGGUUAAAGAGUAUGUACCUGGGCCCCUGUAGUACAUACUGUUUGUCAUAUACUUUUUCCCUCUGCUGCAUGCAUAUUGGCCUUCUUUCUAUUCCUUGAAUGUUCUGACCUGGUCCCAGCUCAGGGCUUUUGUUUUUUUGCCUGUCUGGAAUGUUUGUCUAGCUCAUUAUGGCUGCCCUUUUUUCAGCUCAGUGUUCAACUUGCAUAUUUUUUUAGAGAUGGCUUCCUGGAUACUGUAGCACCCCUUCUAGUUUGUUUCCUUCAUAUCAUCAAGUUUCAUUUCCUUUUUAACAUCCUUGUCACUCUCUGAAAUGAUACUUGUUUUCUUGCUUAUUUUCUGUCUUCUCACAUUAGGAUAUAAUGGUAGAAGCCUUGUUGGUCUUUUUCAUUGCCAUAUUUCCAGAAUCUAGAAUAGUACUUGGUAAAGAUUGGCCAUUCAGUAAAUAUUUGUUAAGUAAAUGAAUAAAGAUAACCAAAUUACUUUUCCAAAAUGAUAUACCAGUGACUUGGGAGACUGGAUUAGUUCUGGUGGGAAUGGUUUGGUUCCCAAGAGAGCAGGUGGUUGUAAAGCAAGGAUGCCUUUUGUGUUUGGCCUCUUUGUACUGUCUGCCUCCCCUUUGAUCUUCUGCCAUGUUAAGACACAGCAGGAAAGCCCUUACCAGAAGCCGAGCAGAUGACAGUGCCAUGCCCCUUGAAAUUCCCAGCCUCCAUACCUGUGAGCUAAAUAAACUCUUUUUCUUUAUCAGCUACCCACCCUCAGGUAUUUUGUUAUAGCAACACCGAAUGAAUUAAGAUGGCAUUAUUCUCAAUUUUGGGCAAAAUAUUUAGCUAGGCUUCAACAGGUGACCUGGCAGGGUGGAAAGAAGACUUUGAUUCUAGUUCUAGCCCUGCCAGCAAUAAGCUUGGUAAUCUAGGUGAAGACAUUGUCUCAGAUUUCCAGAUUUUUUAUUUGUAAAAUGAAAUAAUUAUUGUCCCUGAAUGCCAGAUGAUAUUAGCCUGUGUUUUCAUUGGUCUGUGGUGAAAUGACUCCCCAUUUGUGUGGGUAUAAAAUUGCUAGCUAUCUUUUCUUGGGUAGGACUGUUCAUUCUGAAAUUAUGCCAUACCUGCUUUUUACUGGCACAUUUACUAUUUUAUGGGCCUAAGUACUAUAAACGAAAUCCUCUGAGCAAGGAGGAUUUAAAUGCCUCAUUUAAAAUUUUCUGAUUGUUUAAUAAGAAAUAUAGCAGGCAUAAUUAUUAAAUGUAGUUAUUAAAUGAGCCUUUGAGAAGAAAAAUAGGGUAAAAACCAAAAAAAUAUUAACUUGCUAGGCAUCUUAUAUCUAUUGUGGCUUGUGAAAAUAUAUCCCAUGAGAUGUUUUUGAAAUGUUGUAUAGUAAUGUGAUCUAAGUGUCAGAGAAUUAUUAGUCUACAGUUUUCUUAAAUUUGUUUCAGACUGAUAGAUAUGACCAAAUUUUUUAAGUGUGAUUUAUGAGGAUUAAGAAGAUUUCAUAUCUGAAGAGUGGAAAUUUAUACAUAUGUACCUAGGUCUAGAUAGCAUAAGCUCUGGUUUCCCUCAGUUACUUAAAUACAGAUGUAAAAUCAUUGUAUGAAUAUAUUAAAUAAAAUUUAGGUUGUACCCUC